AACGAACGCUGGCGGCGCGCCUAAUACAUGCAAGUCGAGCGAGAAGACGUAGCAAUACGUUUGUAAAGCGGCGAACGGGUGAGGAAUACAUGGGUAACCUACCCUCGAGUGGGGAAUAACUAGCCGAAAGGUUAGCUAAUACCGCGUACGCUCCUUGGACUUCGGUUCAGGGAGGAAAGCGAUACCGUGGGUAUCGCGCUCUUGGAUGGGCUCAUGUCCUAUCAGCUUGUUGGUGAGGUAACGGCUCACCAAGGCUUCGACGGGUAGCUGGUCUGAGAGGACGAUCAGCCACACUGGCACUGCGACACGGGCCAGACUCCUACGGGAGGCAGCAGUAAGGAAUAUUGCGCAAUGGGCGAAAGCCUGACGCAGCGACGCCGCGUGGGGGAUGAAGGUCUUCGGAUUGUAAACCCCUUUCGGGAGGGAAGAUGGAACGAGCAAUCGUUCGGACGGUACCUCCAGAAGCAGCCACGGCUAACUUCGUG
RNAcentral lists this ribosomal RNA (485 nucleotides) under uncultured bacterium. RNAcentral's name for it is "bacterial SSU rRNA". It matches the Rfam family "Bacterial small subunit ribosomal RNA", at positions 29 to 507 of the family's 1533-position model. The record is from RNAcentral.